This is a long non-coding RNA of Canis lupus familiaris (dog), 1792 nucleotides long. RefSeq lists it as uncharacterized. NCBI's taxonomy places the organism in Eukaryota, Metazoa, Chordata, Mammalia, Carnivora, Canidae. The record is from RefSeq and is a predicted model, not a curated record. The transcript is spliced from 3 exons.
CUACAGGUCCUCGCUUACUGGUUUUUAAAUGUCAUGACCUAUUAGAAAUAAGGCAGCCUGCAACUCAGUUACAGGAACGACUGUGACGUGACCGACCGAGACCCUGUACAGGUGACAGAGCGGCGUUACGUCCCGAGACGCGGGGGGAGGCAGGCACAGGAGGCACCGGGCAGGUUAGCAGCCAGGAUCGGAUCUGCACUGUUCUCCCGAACUUCAGGAGCAGCCCGGGUGUAGGGUGCGCGAUGUGAGUGACCCAAGCCCCAGCGUUACGUCAGCAUCACUGGGGUCACGUCACUGUCUACACGGGAUGACCUCUCGGACAGAGGGGAGGCGGAGUUUUGGCAUUGGGACAGGACCACAGAACAGCUCAGUCCCCAGCUGUCUCUGCAGAGCAGGGUCAUGUGCAUCCUGUUCUGCGACUCAUUUUGGCUCACUCAUACACUCCUGCACGCACUCGCAUGCACAUGCUCACAUGCACCCACUCACCACUCAUGCAUAUGCUCAUGUGUAUGCACAUUCCUGUGCGCACACUCACACACGCAAUGUUCUUGCACAUGUGCACUCACCUGAACACACAUGCACAUGCUCACACCCACUCACCACUCAUGCAUAUGCUCACGUGCAUGCACAUUCCUGUGCACACACACACACAACGUUCUCGCAGAUGUGCACUCACCUGUUCACACAUGCACAUGCUCACAUGCACCCACUCACCACUCAUGCAUAUGCUCACAUGCAUGCAUAUACCUGUGCACACACUCACACACGCAACAUUCUUGCACAUGUGCACUCACCUGUACACAUGCACAUGCUCACAUGCACCACUCACCAAUCAUACAUAUGCUCACGUGCAUGCACAUACCUGUGCACACACACAAUGCUCUCACACAUGGGUACACACUCACCCACAUCCACGUGUACAUGCUUGCAUGCACAUGCUUACAUGCAUGCACACAAUGCAUGCAGUCACAUGCUUGCACACACAUGCUUACCUGCAUGUGCUCACACGCAUAUCCUCACACACCCAAAUGCACACAUGUGCAUGCACACUCGUGCACAUGCUCAUAUGUAUGCACUUGUGCACAUGUUCACACAUGCACACACAGAUGCACACAUGCACAAGCUCUCACAUGUGCAUGUGCACACACAUUCAUGAACACAAACUCGCACUCAGGAGCUCACACUCACAUACACAUGCUUUCACACACGCAGGUGCCGAUGUUCAACGCUGGUGAUUCAAACCAGAAGAGACCUCCACGCCUGUUUGGAGGAGACACCUGGUAUUUCCUUCAUGGGAAGCAAGCGCCAAAUGGAAAAGAGUUUUGCCCUCAGCUUUGACAGACGUGCAUCCUGCCCCGUGGCUCGUCCAGCCCCAGCCCCAAGACAUUCUGGGAGCCCCGAGAACUGCACGGGGCCCGUUGGUGCAGAAACAGCACUCCUCAUCUCCCCACGCCGUCCCUCCUGCAUGUGGACAGGCUCCCGUCACCCUGGCUCCAGUUCCCAUCAGGCCUGGCAAGUCACCUGGACGCUAAUGAAGCUCCACACACAUCCACACAGUUUGAUUUGAUUUCAAUUAGUUCAGUAUUUAUCAUCCACCAAGAAAAAGCUGAUCAAACUGUCUGAGCUCUGCAGGCGUGAGUCUGAGCUGUGUCUCACUUGCCGGUAGAGGCCCGGCCGCAGAAAGCAAAUAACUCAGUGCGUCUUGCCGGGCAGCCACCGUUGUCCACACACCCUGGGGUCUGCCCAGGUGUCCACCUGCACAGCGAGGACCCGGAGGGAGCCGGGAGCUGAG